GAAGGAAUGUAUAGCGAAAGCUAAUUGUAUUAUAUUUAUACAAUACCGAUUUAUUCGGCUAAAAUUCUGGGUAGAUUUUGAUAAUGACAUUAGCUAUCCAUAUGUCUUGACCAAAUUUUGUGCCAGCAGUCGCGGCAAUACAAAAAAGACUUGUGUUAUUCAUGUUAAGUCGGUUUAAAGGGUAACUAGACGGUAAACCAAGCCAAUAGAGGGACUAGUUUACUUGAGUUUAAUAUAAGGGAGCAUAAAAGUACUGAUAGGUGUAGAGAUGAAAUUCGUUGAUACCAUAUAUGGCACAGGUUUAGGCGAAAGCAUCUCCUUAUGUAAAAACUGACGUUCAGGGACGAAGGCUAUGUGCAGCAAACAGGAUUAGAUACCCUGGUAGUUUUAGCAGAAAAUGAUGAAUGUUAUAGGGUAGACUCUUUUUAUUCUAUAAAUGAAAGUGUAAGCAUUCCACCUCAUGAGUAAUUUGGCAACAUUGGAAUUGAAAUCAUUAGACCGUUUCUGAUACAAGCAGUGAAGUAUGUUAUUUAAUUUGAUGAUCCGCAAAAAACCUUACCACAUUUUGAAUAUUGCUUUAUGUUACAUAAAGUAUUACAAGUGCUGCAUGGUUGUCUUCAGUUAAUGUCGUGAGACUUUGGUUAACUCCACUAAAUUAACGUAAACCCUUAAUCUAUUUAUUAAUAGAUUAGAUCCCCUUUAGAUUGGAUAUGAUACAUGGGACUAAGACAAAUCAUCAUGGCCUAAAUAAUGUGGGCGAUAGACGUGCUGCAUAUGCCAUACAAAGGGAUGCAAAAUUGUAAAUAGAGCUAAU
This 814-nucleotide ribosomal RNA is filed under the name Speerschneidera euploca. Its description in RNAcentral is "SSU rRNA". It matches the Rfam family "Bacterial small subunit ribosomal RNA", at positions 406 to 1272 of the family's 1533-position model. The record is from RNAcentral. Lineage: Eukaryota; Fungi; Ascomycota; Lecanoromycetes; Leprocaulales; Leprocaulaceae.